RNAcentral lists this ribosomal RNA (467 nucleotides) under uncultured bacterium. Its description in RNAcentral is "partial 16S ribosomal RNA". It matches the Rfam family "Bacterial small subunit ribosomal RNA", at positions 28 to 506 of the family's 1533-position model. The record is from RNAcentral.
GACGAACGCUGGCGGCGUGCUUAACACAUGCAAGUCGAACGGAAAGGCCCUGCUUUUGUGGGGUGCUCGAGUGGCGAACGGGUGAGUAACACGUGAGUAACCUGCCCUUGACUUUGGGAUAACUUCAGGAAACUGGGGCUAAUACCGGAUAGGAGCUCCUGCUGCAUGGUGGGGGCUGGAAAGUUUCGGCGGUUGGGGAUGGACUCGCGGCUUAUCAGCUUGUUGGUGGGGCAGUGGCUUACCAAGGCUUUGACGGGUAGCCGGCCUGAGAGGGUGACCGGCCACAUUGGGACUGAGAUACGGCCCAGACUCCUACGGGAGGCAGCAGUGGGGAAUAUUGCACAAUGGGCGGAAGCCUGAUGCAGCAACGCCGCGUGCGGGAUGACGGCCUUCGGGUUGUAAACCGCUUUCGCCUGUGACGAAGCGUGAGUGACGGUAAUGGGUAAAGAAGCACCGGCUAACUACGU